ACGAAAAGGGGAGCAAUCCCCUUUGAGUGGCGGAAGGGUUAGUAAUGCAUGAGUAAUCUACCUUGUACUUCGGAACAACGGCUGGAAACGGCCGCUAAUACCGGAUGAGGUCACACUGUGGCAUCACAGUAUGAUCAAUGUAGGGGACCGAGAGAUUGGCCUUGCAGUACGAGAGGAGCUCAUGAGGUAUCAGCUAGUUGGUGUGGUAACGGCACACCAAGG
RNAcentral lists this ribosomal RNA (222 nucleotides) under uncultured Chlamydiales CRG34. Its description in RNAcentral is "partial 16S ribosomal RNA". It matches the Rfam family "Bacterial small subunit ribosomal RNA", at positions 66 to 273 of the family's 1533-position model. Lineage: Bacteria; Pseudomonadati; Chlamydiota; Chlamydiia; Chlamydiales. The record is from RNAcentral.